This 205-nucleotide microRNA precursor is filed under the name Oryza rufipogon (brownbeard rice). RNAcentral describes it as "MIR812 microRNA precursor family". It matches the Rfam family "MIR812 microRNA precursor family". The record is from Rfam by way of RNAcentral. Lineage: Eukaryota; Viridiplantae; Streptophyta; Magnoliopsida; Poales; Poaceae.
AAAAAGACAAACCCUGGUUUCCGUGCCCAACAUUUGACCGUCCGUCUUAUUUGAAAAAAUUAUGAAAAAAAUUAAAAAGACAAGUUACGCAUAAAAUAUUAAUCAUGUUUUAUCAUCUAACAACAAUAAAAAUACGAAUUAUAAAAAAAUUUCAUAUAAGACGGACAGUCAAAGUUGGACACGAAAAUCCAUGAUUUGUUUUUUU